UUAGCCGAAAAUUGUAUGGAGUUGGAACGUUUGUCUACGUUUGCCGCUAGGGGCGCUGUUCCAACUCCAUACAAAUCUGAGUUA
This 84-nucleotide microRNA precursor is filed under the name Bombyx mori (domestic silkworm). RNAcentral describes it as "mir-2807 microRNA precursor family". It matches the Rfam family "mir-2807 microRNA precursor family". The record is from Rfam by way of RNAcentral. Lineage: Eukaryota; Metazoa; Arthropoda; Insecta; Lepidoptera; Bombycidae.